AAGAAAUGUUGCCUUGAUAGCGGGCCAGCAGUGACUAAUUUUCUACGAGUGAAUGACUGAUGAGAUCAAAGCAAUAUGGUUACUACGGGUCUCAUGAAUAUUUAGUGUUCAAAACGUUGUAACAGUCAUUAGGAAAAGAAUGGCGAGGCUAUAUCUUUCAAGUCACAUAACAAACGACAUUUGGUUUGUGGUUAUAUAUUUUCCUCAUCUGACAACAAUUCGCAACCAAACUUUGCAAUUUUACUCAUUUUAAGAUGUUCUUUCUUGCUAUGAAGUAUGGUAAUGGAGUUCGUUCUUCUUGUCCAGAUCAAAAUUUCGUCUAUAGAGUAUAGCUGGAAUUAUCCAUCCAAACGGGUGUUUUGUUUAGUCCUAUAGUUUAGAGAUUGUUUACGGUCAAUUAGACCCCUUUACUCACGAUACCGGACGAAUUUGGAACCGGACUAAAGUUCGGCCGUGCAAACACACGAGAACCACAGAACUGGACGAAUUUGAGACCCCCUAACAGGACGAAUUCGCGUGUAAACAGGCGAAAAAGGACGAAUUUCAGACCG
Non-coding RNA from Paramuricea clavata, 551 nucleotides. NCBI's taxonomy places the organism in Eukaryota, Metazoa, Cnidaria, Anthozoa, Malacalcyonacea, Plexauridae. The record is from the annotation of a GenBank genome assembly.